This 440-nucleotide long non-coding RNA is filed under the name Dromaius novaehollandiae (emu). RNAcentral's name for it is "lncRNA (ENSDNVG00000012698.1)". Lineage: Eukaryota; Metazoa; Chordata; Aves; Casuariiformes; Dromaiidae. The record is from RNAcentral.
CCUUGUGCUUGCACAGGUGUUUGGGUGGUCAUAUGGUAAAUUAAGUUUUUUUUUUUCUUUUUUUUCUUUUCUUUUUUUUUUUUUUUUCAGAUCCUGUUUGCCCCACACAAAUGUAAUGUGCACAGUAGCACUAAGUACAAUGAAGGUGUGAAUGAGCAGCCAGGAGCAGAGAUGGCCUAAGAUGACUUAAGCAGAACUACUGCUGAAGAUGUAACCACAGGCUCAAAGUUCAUGCUACUUCUGGUAACUGUCUUGGAUGGCUCAGAGAUAGGACUGCUGCUAGACAGGAGUACUAUUGGAAGGCCUUGGAACAGACCCCCCACUCAAGGGUUAAAAGAUGGCUAUUACUAAAAUCCAAAACAUUUAUUCUUUCCUUGCUCAUCUUCUCUUCUCAGAUGUCAUCAUAUGAAUGCAAUAUGACACAUCAAAAAACCCCAACA